AAUAGAUCGAGGGCUUGACCAAAUAUAGUAAAUUAAAUAUGUGCAAUUUUGAAAGAACAAAAACUUUCAAACAUCUGGUGAUGAUGUUCUUUAGGGUAACACCCGUUCCCAUUCCGAACACGACGGUUAAGCCUUUAGAAGCCGAUGGUACUGCACGGGAGACUGUGUGGGAGAGUAGGUGGUCGCCAGGU
This 191-nucleotide ribosomal RNA is filed under the name Clostridium perfringens CPE str. F4969. Lineage: Bacteria; Bacillati; Bacillota; Clostridia; Eubacteriales; Clostridiaceae. The record is from RNAcentral.